Long non-coding RNA from Salvia hispanica, 739 nucleotides. RefSeq lists it as uncharacterized. The record is from RefSeq and is a predicted model, not a curated record. NCBI's taxonomy places the organism in Eukaryota, Viridiplantae, Streptophyta, Magnoliopsida, Lamiales, Lamiaceae.
AGCCUCGGUAUCGUUCGCGGAAAGGUCAAAUCUGCACGAACACAUUAGCCGUGUGUGAUAGAAAUAUGAACUUUGUGUAUGUGUUGCCGGAGUGGGAGGGCUCUGCAGGUGAUGCUCUAGUCCUCCGAGAUGCUUGAAUCGAACCAACGGACUGAAGGUUCCUCGAGAUAAUUACUAUCUAUGCGACAACGGUUAUGCAAAUAGCGAUGGUUUCCUAACUCCUUUUAAGGGUGUCCGCUAUCACCUCAAAGAAUGGGGCUACGGAAAUGAGGCUCCUCAAUCUACACGCGAAAUCUUCAACAUGAGACACACACGUGCGUGAAAUGUGAUCAAACGUGCUUUCGCUGUACUCAAAAUGCGCUGGGGAAUACUAAGGAGUUCAGCAUUUUACCCACUGAAAGUGCAAAUCAGACUGAUUAUGGCCUGCUUUUUACUUCACAACUACGUACGAAGUGCGAUGGAGGUCGACCCAAUCGAGCUGGCGAUGGAUGCAGGAGAACUUGAAGAUGAUAUGGAUGUUGCGGCUGCUGCUAAUGACAAUGCUCCCCCUGAGUUUGUGGACACCGUCGAACCUACAACAGAAUGGAAUAAUCAUCGAGAUGCCUUAGCAGAAUCCAUGUGGAAUGUGCAUGUUGGCGGCCUCGCGUGAUGCAUAUCAUGAAGUGCAAGCAUCUCCCUUUUAGUUGUUUUAGCAUUGGGACUGUAUGGAUGAAUGUUAUUACUAUGUAUUUUAUUAGAC